GAUGAAGAACGUAGUAAAAUGCGAUAAUUAAUGUGAAUUGCAGAAUUCAGUGAAUCAUCGAAUCUUUGAACGCACAUUGCGCCCGUCGGCAUUCCGGCGGGCACGCCUGUCCGAGCGUCAUCAGGAACCCAUCGGGCGGUCCCCUCGGGGACCGCCCGGCGUUGGGGCGCGCCGCCCGCGCCGUCAGGCGAAAGGCGGCGGCCCUCGAACCCAUCGGCGGUGCAUCGACGCGAGACCGACCGGCGUUGCGGAAUCGUCAAUCCGCCGGCGGCCGUCGAAGCUCCCUUCCGAAAGCUCCACGAGACGAAAAGGACCUCGGAUCAGGCGGGGUUACCCGCUGAACUUAAGCAUAUCAAUAAGCGGAGGA
This 367-nucleotide unclassified non-coding RNA is filed under the name soil metagenome. RNAcentral describes it as "partial contains 5.8S ribosomal RNA, internal transcribed spacer 2, and large subunit ribosomal RNA". The stretch from base 1 to 120 matches the Rfam family "5.8S ribosomal RNA", at positions 35 to 154 of the family's 154-position model. The record is from RNAcentral.